Molecule: long non-coding RNA, 283 nt
Filed under: Pan troglodytes (chimpanzee)
Lineage: Eukaryota; Metazoa; Chordata; Mammalia; Primates; Hominidae
Description: long non-coding RNA NONPTRT011480
Source: RNAcentral
UGCAGGGUUCCUCCAUUUUGACAUGAGUAAAUUCUAGAUUAGGUAUUUGGCAGUUAACUCAUCUGGAUAUAUGGGAACAGAAGUGCCAGACACGUAGAUAAUAUUUGGAGAACAGGAGCAGACUUGGAACAUGCUGAAUGGAGGACAAGGAAGCAGAAGCAGUCUGUGUGGCUGAGGAAAAGAAGGAAGCUUUAGAGAGAACCAAAAACUGAUAAAUUAAUCUUUGAAAAAAUUGUUGACAACUUUUCAAAAAUUACCAGUUCAUAGACUAUGUUCACUUUAA